CCAAUUCUGAAACAAGAGUUCAGCGCAAGCUUAAAGUUCUGUCCUUGUCAUUCUCAUCUGGAUACAUGCUUGAAUAAGAAAAGGACAUUAAAAAAAAAAAAAAAAAACUCUUCUGAAAACUAGCACCAGCUAAUCAGGAAAAUAUCAUCUACUGGGAAAUAGGAAUCAAAGUGUCGGGAUCACAGAUUCCGGUAAUCAAGCCAAAUGGGCUACCAGCUAUGAUAGUUUUUUUCAGUUGUAACUCUAAAUGAACAUCACUCUCGUGGCGAUCGAAAAUGUAAUGAUUACAUUCAUACGAAUGCACUACUUGAUCGGUUAAAGUACGUAGUUUAUAUCCUUUCAAGAUCAAAAUACUGUGGUAAGAAUGUGUGAUAUUUUGAGAUCCGGUAUUCGUUGAAAAACUCUUAGCUUGUACUGCCUGCUU
Molecule: long non-coding RNA, 424 nt
Filed under: Eucalyptus grandis
Lineage: Eukaryota; Viridiplantae; Streptophyta; Magnoliopsida; Myrtales; Myrtaceae
Description: long non-coding RNA (EGRA_LNC005788)
Source: RNAcentral